RNAcentral lists this transfer RNA (91 nucleotides) under Streptomyces iconiensis. RNAcentral's name for it is "tRNA-Arg". It matches the Rfam family "tRNA". Rfam says of the family: Transfer RNA (tRNA) molecules are approximately 80 nucleotides in length. Lineage: Bacteria; Bacillati; Actinomycetota; Actinomycetes; Kitasatosporales; Streptomycetaceae. The record is from RNAcentral.
GGAGAGGUACCCGAAGUGGCCCAACGGGGACCUGGUGGCUGCGCCGCCGGUCGGGUCUCGGCCCGCGCAGGUUCGAAUCCUGCCCUCUCCG